GGGGCCGACUGGAAUUGACAGGAAGUGUGAAUGAUGUACUUGCAUGUCGGGUGGUGAGUGUACACCCGCGAACAAUGCGCUCGACCGAUAAUUGGCGAAGAAACUUACGCCAUGGCUGCCUAAUCUCUACCUCAGUAGGUGAGAACUAGGGCUUAAACGAUUUCCUGAUAAGAUCAGGAACGGGCCACAUCCUGCCAAGCCUCCGUCUUUCGGGCUGGGUAACAGGGUGUCAUUUGAGAGACUAGUCAGGGUGAGGUUACUAAACCCGGGCGAAACCACAGUGACUGGUCAAUAGCUAGGUUGUUUUUCUACCAGGCUGCUGAUAAGAACCCAAAGAAAAACUAAGCAUGUAGAGGGUGCAUGAUUUCCUUAUCUGGACGCGGGUUCGAAUCCCGCCGGCUCCACAG
RNAcentral lists this transfer-messenger RNA (407 nucleotides) under Cyclobacteriaceae bacterium. It matches the Rfam family "transfer-messenger RNA". Rfam says of the family: Bacterial tmRNA, also known as 10Sa RNA or SsrA, is named for its dual tRNA and mRNA-like properties. Its role is to liberate the mRNA from a stalled ribosome. Lineage: Bacteria; Pseudomonadati; Bacteroidota; Cytophagia; Cytophagales; Cyclobacteriaceae. The record is from RNAcentral.